RNAcentral lists this ribosomal RNA (306 nucleotides) under Bacillus sp. mrc49. RNAcentral describes it as "bacterial LSU rRNA". It matches the Rfam family "Bacterial large subunit ribosomal RNA", at positions 2455 to 2760 of the family's 2925-position model. The record is from RNAcentral. Lineage: Bacteria; Bacillati; Bacillota; Bacilli; Caryophanales; Bacillaceae.
GAUAAAAGCUACCCCGGGGAUAACAGGCUUAUCUCCCCCAAGAGUCCACAUCGACGGGGAGGUUUGGCACCUCGAUGUCGGCUCAUCGCAUCCUGGGGCUGUAGUCGGUCCCAAGGGUUGGGCUGUGCGCCCAUUAAAGCGGUACGCGAGCUGGGUUCAGAACGUCGUGAGACAGUUCGGUCCCUAUCCGUCGCGGGCGCAGGAAAUUUGAGAGGAGCUGUCCUUAGUACGAGAGGACCGGGAUGGACGCACCGCUGGUGUACCAGUUGUCUUGCCAAAGGCAUAGCUGGGUAGCUACGUGCGGAC